This 191-nucleotide non-coding RNA is filed under the name Bacteroides sp. Lineage: Bacteria; Pseudomonadati; Bacteroidota; Bacteroidia; Bacteroidales; Bacteroidaceae. The record is from RNAcentral.
UUGUAAGGCUUUUCGUUAGGUAACAUAAGCGUUUCAAAAGGGAAUGCCGUGUAAAUCGGCAACAGUACCCGCUGCUGUGAUUCUUAAUGAACCGUAGGCAAUGCAUAAGCAAGCCACUGUUGUUUGGAAGCAAUGGGAAGGUGCCUGCGGGAGAGAUCAGUCAGAAGACCUGCCACGAGAAGCAGAUCCAA